Molecule: signal recognition particle RNA, 98 nt
Filed under: Desulfobacteraceae bacterium
Lineage: Bacteria; Pseudomonadati; Thermodesulfobacteriota; Desulfobacteria; Desulfobacterales; Desulfobacteraceae
Description: signal recognition particle sRNA small type
Rfam family: Bacterial small signal recognition particle RNA
About the family: The signal recognition particle (SRP) is a universally conserved ribonucleoprotein involved in the co-translational targeting of proteins to membranes.
Source: RNAcentral
GAGUGGACCAUCCGUAACAAACGCUUAUGAACCUCGUCAGGUCCGGAAGGAAGCAGCGAUAAAUAGGGCGGUUUGUGUCGGACUGAAUUCUACUCUCU